UAAUAAAUCUGUCAAUAGCUGCAUGAUACGACUGCUUGCAGGCAGUAUCAUGCAGCUAUUUGACGGAUAAACACACAUGAGCAUGUAGGGAGAUAGCCCGGAAUGCGAAUGUGUGUUGCGGAUUCGAGAGUUCGAAGAACGUAGAAGCCGCAUUUAUUA
RNAcentral lists this small RNA (159 nucleotides) under Roseburia sp. CAG:50. RNAcentral describes it as "Clostridiales-1 RNA". It matches the Rfam family "Clostridiales-1 RNA". Lineage: Bacteria; Bacillati; Bacillota; Clostridia; Lachnospirales; Lachnospiraceae. The record is from Rfam by way of RNAcentral.